This is a long non-coding RNA of Branchiostoma floridae (Florida lancelet), 449 nucleotides long. RefSeq lists it as uncharacterized. The record is from RefSeq and is a predicted model, not a curated record. Lineage: Eukaryota; Metazoa; Chordata; Leptocardii; Amphioxiformes; Branchiostomatidae. The transcript has 4 exons.
GCUACAUGUACACAUGUGGCACUUCGCCAAGACUCCGCCACCGGGCGCCCAUGGAUAAAGCUACUUCUUCUGUAGUCUGUCCAUCCUGGUGAUCAAGGUCAGUUGACCUGACCAGUGAAGUCAUGACGCCCUGUAUGCUGCUUAUACUCACAGGCUGUUUUGGUUGGUUUGAUGAAGUCACAUACGCGGCAGCCAUUCCCACUGAGGAGGGUUCUCAACAGCAGCCAAGGGACCAGUUAAUACUGUCGCUGGAUGUUUAUGAAGAAGAGAUGAUGACUCACGAAGAGCGGUACCCGGGAGAUGUUUAUGUGGGCUCCUCCAUACAGGAGACCAUAAAACACGUAGACAAUACAAUCAGAAACACACAGAAAGAGCACCGCCAUAAGGAAAGGUAGUUAUAUUGAUCUCACAUCACUUUUUGUUUGUCUAAAUCUUGAAGAAACUUCAUG